This 144-nucleotide ribosomal RNA is filed under the name uncultured eukaryote. RNAcentral describes it as "partial 18S ribosomal RNA". It matches the Rfam family "Eukaryotic small subunit ribosomal RNA", at positions 1299 to 1458 of the family's 1831-position model. The record is from RNAcentral.
UGGUGGAGUGAUUUGUCUGGUUAAUCCGAUAACGAACGAGACUCUAGCCUGCUAAAUAGACGGGCGAUCCCUUCGUGGGUCGACCCGAUUUGCUUCUUAGAGGGACAAGUGGCGUUCCUAGCCACGCGAAAUUGAGCAAUAACA